AGCCUCGCGGCCUCUCCGGCUGCCCCGGAUGGCCCUUUCAGACGUGCACCUGCCCUGUCCCAGGACUCCCGGAAACGCCAGCGUGCCCGUAGCGCUCCUCCCAGCCUUAGAAAGCCCCGGCGGUGUGUCUGGCACAGAACCUUCCCACGCAUACGCGAGAGACUCCAACCCCCUUCUUGUUUUCCCGAAAGACAUGGCAUUGGUUUCCAUGAUCCAUGGUCCAUUGUGAAGAGGAGAAGGAUUGGGGAAAGGAGCAAAUGACCUCCCUAUGUCAGCACAGACCUCCUUGAAAACAACAUGCUCCCUCUGUCCUCACCCAUUUCAGGCAGAAGUGGAAAGGAGAAGGACCUCUUCUACACCCUCCUUCACUGAAGUACCUGGAGCCUGCCAAGAAAGAAAAGAAAAAAACCCUCCAAAUUCAAAUUCAUAUACAAACUAAGGGGAGAAAGGAAGAGGCCAGAACAGUGGGCUCACCAUCUCAAAUUCAUAUGCAUAUCA
Gekko japonicus is the source of this 498-nucleotide long non-coding RNA. RefSeq lists it as uncharacterized. The record is from RefSeq and is a predicted model, not a curated record. The transcript has 3 exons. Lineage: Eukaryota; Metazoa; Chordata; Lepidosauria; Squamata; Gekkonidae.